UACGUAGGGUCCGAGCGUUGUCCGGAAUUACUGGGCGUAAAGAGCUCGUAGGUGGUUUGUCACGUUGUUCGUGAAAACUCACAGCUUAACUGUGGGCGUGCGGGCGAUACGGGCAGACUAGAGUACUGCAGGGGAGACUGGAAUUCCUGGUGUAGCGGUGGAAUGCGCAGAUAUCAGGAGGAACACCGGUGGCGAAGGCGGGUCUCUGGGCAGUAACUGACGCUGAGGAGCGAAAGCGUGGGGGAGCGAACAGG
RNAcentral lists this ribosomal RNA (254 nucleotides) under uncultured bacterium. Its description in RNAcentral is "partial 16S ribosomal RNA". It matches the Rfam family "Bacterial small subunit ribosomal RNA", at positions 524 to 776 of the family's 1533-position model. The record is from RNAcentral.